Molecule: long non-coding RNA, 1833 nt
Organism: Vespula vulgaris
Lineage: Eukaryota; Metazoa; Arthropoda; Insecta; Hymenoptera; Vespidae
Exons: 2
Source: RefSeq, a predicted model, not a curated record
UAUAUAUAUAUAUAUAUAUAUAUAUGUGUGUGUGCGCAAUAUAUGUAUAUGUAUAUUUUUACUAAUUAUAUGUUCUGUAUGUGUGUACGUGCGUACAUACAUUCUAUUAAACGAUAUAAUCAUUUUAUAAUUCUUGUAUAGAUGUAUACGUACAUGCGUGCGCAUAGACAUACACAUUGCUAUAUAUGUUAUUUAUGUUAUAUAUAUUUGCAAUUGUAUAUUUGUAGAUAUUAUAUUAUAUAUAUUUGCAAUUUCUUUUUUAAAUAUCUCUUUCGAAGCUCUUUAAAGCGCACUUAAGAAUAUUUUAAGAUAUGCAAUGAUCUCGAAAGAUUAUCAAAAAGAUGUUCAUUGGAAGUGUAUACCAAGAAAAUAAAUAAAAUAAGCAUAAACGUGAUUUUGUAACAAGUCACUACAUAAGAUAAGGCCACUCAACGACAAGUUAUCAUGUAUUUUCUUCUUUUUUACAAUUUACAAGUAUAUAAUUGUUUAUAAAAAUAUCAUAAUUAUAUUAAUGGAGAAAAGUAGAGACAAAUUUUUAAAUAUUUUUUAUUAUCUCUUCAUUUUUUUUCUUCUAACUAUUAAAAUUAAAUAGCUUGUGUGUAUAUUUUUAAUUUAUUAAAUGGCUCAUCGGAUCUGCUAAUAAUAAUUUUUUGUUUAAAUUAUUUUUCGAUUUGUGGUAAUGAAUAUAUUAAUUAGUAUAUGACUAAUAAGUGGAAUAAUUAACGUACAUAAAAACUUCCGAAAGACCUUAUUAUAGGUUUGUUAUAUAAAAGAGUUCGACUAUGACCAUUUUUUGAUUUUGUUAUUUUGUUGUUUUCCUUGCUGCGAAAUUUAUUCCAUUUUGGUUUGAUACAGAUUGAAAUAAUGUUUAUUUAAUAUUUGAUACGUUUAAUUUCUUGGAACAAAAUUUUUAAUAUAAGUGACGACGGAAGAAGUCGCUGUUUCUUAACAAUCGCUGAGUAAUUCAGAUUUUUCGUUUAUAUAAGUUUAGCUAUGUAAUCAAUAACAUAAAUAAAAUUAAUAAAUAGUAAAUAAAAUUAUUUUUUGAAAAUAAUGUAAAUAUCUUGAAACUUGAGAGACAUUUUUAAUUACAGGUCGAUAAAAUUAUAAAAACGUUUAAAUACGAAACAAUGUUUAAUGAUAAAGUUUACUCUGAUUAAAAUAAAACUUGAAUUGUAAGACAAUGAUAUAAUUUCACUAUAGUCAGUGGAUAUCGGAUAAUAUCGGAAAUGUAAUACAAUAUGUAUACCGAGGAUCGUCGUGUCUGAGCGUUCAUUCUUCGUCGGCUAAGCUAUUUGGAUCGUCGGUACUUGGUUUCGUUGCUACUUGGAAUGGGUUUCUAACUAUAGUAUUUCUCCUCUUUUACGGAAUAUAUACAGAAAUUCUAGUUGCUUGGUGGUGUUAUAUUUUGUUUGGAUGGAUUUUGAUCUCAAUAUUUGUAAUUGUCGGGAGUUAGAAAGACUGCAUUUGUCGGUCAAUUCCUAUUAAACUAUUAUGAACGAAUCUAACUUCAUUCUAACAGCAAUUAUUUUUUCACGCGUCUUCCUCAUGGAAUUCUUUCGAGUGGUCUCUAUUAGCCCUUGUGGUUCGAGGAUUUUUAGUUACGAGAGAAAUGAAUAUUGUAUGUUCUACUUGGAAAUCCUUCUCAAAAGGAGGAAUUUUCUUAGUUAGGUAAAUAUAUAAGAAAUAAUCAUUAAUUUAUUGAUAAUAUUUAUAAUAUAAUUAUUUUAAUAUUUAUUAUCAUAAUAUUAUAAUAUUGAUUGUAAUAUUAUUAAAUUAUUGUAAUUAAGUUGUAUAUUAUAAUUAAUGAAUUAUAAUUACAUUAUUAUAAUA